CUACGGGGGGCAGCAGUGGGGAAUAUUGCACAAUGGACGAAAGUCUGAUGCAGCAACGCCGCGUGGAGGAUGACACAUUUCGGUGCGUAAACUCCUUUUAUAUAAGAAGAUAAUGACGGUAUUAUAUGAAUAAGCGCCGGCUAACUCCGUGCCAGCAGCCGCGGUAAUACGGGGGGUGCAAGCGUUACUCGGAAUCACUGGGCGUAAAGCGCAUGUAGGCGGACUUGUAAGUUGGAAGUGAAAUCCUAUGGCUCAACCAUAGAACUGCUUCCAAAACUGCUUGUCUAGAAUAUGGGAGAGGUAGAUGGAAUUUCUGGUGUAGGGGUAAAAUCCGUAGAGAUCAGAAGGAAUACCGAUUGCGAAGGCGAUCUACUGGAACAUUAUUGACGCUCAGAUGCGAAAGCGUGGGGAGCAAACAGGAUUAGAUACCCCUGUAGUC
RNAcentral lists this ribosomal RNA (439 nucleotides) under uncultured bacterium. Its description in RNAcentral is "partial 16S ribosomal RNA". It matches the Rfam family "Bacterial small subunit ribosomal RNA", at positions 339 to 795 of the family's 1533-position model. The record is from RNAcentral.